RNAcentral lists this ribosomal RNA (501 nucleotides) under uncultured bacterium. RNAcentral's name for it is "partial 16S ribosomal RNA". It matches the Rfam family "Bacterial small subunit ribosomal RNA", at positions 30 to 523 of the family's 1533-position model. The record is from RNAcentral.
AUUGAACGCUGGCGGCAGGCUUAACACAUGCAAGUCGAGCGGAGAUGAGGUGCUUGCACCUUAUCUUAGCGGCGGACGGGUGAGUAAUGCUUAGGAAUCUGCCUAUUAGUGGGGGACAACAUUCCGAAAGGAAUGCUAAUACCGCAUACGUCCUACGGGAGAAAGCAGGGGAUCUUCGGACCUUGCGCUAAUAGAUGAGCCUAGGUCGGAGUAGCUAGUUGGUGGGGUAAAGGCCUACCAAGGCGACGAUCUGUAGCGGGUCUGAGAGGAUGAUCCGCCACACUGGGACUGAGACACGGCCCAGACUCCUACGGGAGGCAGCAGUGGGGAAUAUUGGACAAUGGGGGAAACCCUGAUCCAGCCAUGCCGCGUGUGAGAAGAAGGCCUUAUGGUUGUAGAGCACUUUAAGCGAGGAGGAGGCUACUGAGACUAAUACUCUUGGAUAGUGGACGUUACUCGCAGAAUAAGCACCGGCUAACUCUGUGCCAGCCGCCGCCGUAA